AAUGAAAGCUGGCGGCAGGCCUAACACAUGCAAGUCGAACGAUUGGCGGAGGGGUGAGUAAUGUCUGGGACACUGCCUGAUGGAGGGGGAUAACUACUGGAAACGGUAGCUAAUACCGCAUACCAUCAGAUGUGCCCAGAUGGGAUUAGCUUGUUGGUGGGGUAACGGCUCACCAAGGCGAAGAUCCCUAGCUGGUCUGAGAGGAUGACCAGCCACACUGGAACGGAGACACGGUCCAGACUCCUACGGUGGGAAGAGUUGGGGAAUAUUGCACAAUGUGCGCAAGCCUGAUGCAGCAAGGCCGCGGGUAGGAAGAAGGCCUUCGGGUUGUAAAGUACGUUCAGAGGGGAGGCGUUACCCGCAGAAGAAGCACCGGCUAACUCCGUGCCAGCAGCCGCGGUAAUAC
RNAcentral lists this ribosomal RNA (406 nucleotides) under uncultured bacterium. RNAcentral describes it as "partial 16S ribosomal RNA". It matches the Rfam family "Bacterial small subunit ribosomal RNA", at positions 29 to 526 of the family's 1533-position model. The record is from RNAcentral.